Non-coding RNA from Zea mays, 129 nucleotides. Lineage: Eukaryota; Viridiplantae; Streptophyta; Magnoliopsida; Poales; Poaceae. The record is from Rfam.
GCAAUAGGGGCCACUCAGGCUAGCCAAGGAGACUGCCUACGAACCAACACAAAGGUCCACAAUUCUGAUCCUUUGUAAACAAAGGACAUAGGCAAGUCAUCCUUGGCUAUCAGAGGCAGGCCCUUAUUG